GGACUGUGUCCCUAAGGUUAUUUCAUAAUUGCGGUGCUCUGUAGGAAAAUGAGGAUCGAGCAACUUUAUUUUUGUAUUGCGGUAUGCAAAAUAUCGUGCCAGUACUGGAUGGAUCCCUGGGGAACACCACACAUGACUGGAAGAGGGAAGGAAAAGCUAUCAGAAACGGUCACAUAUUGCAAUCAGUCUGAAACACACGAUCAAAACCAGGUUAGCGGACGAUCACCAAUGCCUGAGUUUUUAAGUUUUUGCAAAAGAAUGCCAUAGUCUGUGUCAAAGGCCUUGGCACAGUCAAGGAAAAUAGCUCCAGUUAAGUCACCUUGUUCCAUGCCAAUUUGGAUGUCAUUGCAAACUUUUAAGAGUGCAGUUGAAGUUGAGUAAUUUGGACAAAAGCCUGAUUGAUCAGGGGUCAGAUAAUUU
Molecule: non-coding RNA, 420 nt
Organism: Pelobates cultripes (western spadefoot toad)
Lineage: Eukaryota; Metazoa; Chordata; Amphibia; Anura; Pelobatidae
Source: the annotation of a GenBank genome assembly